This 500-nucleotide ribosomal RNA is filed under the name uncultured Glomeromycotina. RNAcentral describes it as "partial small subunit ribosomal RNA". It matches the Rfam family "Eukaryotic small subunit ribosomal RNA", at positions 591 to 1092 of the family's 1831-position model. Lineage: Eukaryota; Fungi; Glomeromycota. The record is from RNAcentral.
CCAAUAGCGUAUAUUAAAGUUGUUGCAGUUAAAAAGCUCGUAGUUGAAUUUCGGGAUCAAUUUAUUGGUCGUGCCAACGGUACGCACUGGUACAAUUGGUUUCUCCCUUCUGACGAAGCAUGAUGUCAUUAAUUUGAUGUCGUGGGGAAUCAGGACUGUUACUUUGAAAAAAUUAGAGUGUUUAAAGCAGGCUUUGGCUUGAAUACAUUAGCAUGGAAUAAUGAAAUAGGACGUUUGAUCUUAUUUCGUUGGUUUCUAAGAUCGACGUAAUGAUUAAUAGGGAUAGUUGGGGGCAUUAGUAUUCAAUUGUCAGAGGUGAAAUUCUUGGAUUUAUUGAAGACUAACUACUGCGAAAGCAUUUGCCAAGGGUGUUUUCAUUAAUCAAGAACGAAAGUUAGGGGAUCGAAGACGAUCAGAUACCGUCGUAGUCUUAACCAUAAACUAUGCCGACUAGGGAUCGGAUGAUGUUAAUUUUUUAAUGACUCAUUCGGCGCCUUACG